Molecule: ribosomal RNA, 797 nt
Filed under: uncultured Bacteroidota bacterium
Lineage: Bacteria; Pseudomonadati; Bacteroidota
Description: bacterial SSU rRNA
Rfam family: Bacterial small subunit ribosomal RNA
Source: RNAcentral
CAGCAGCCGCGGUAAUACGGAGGGUCCAAGCGUUAUCCGGAUUUAUUGGGUUUAAAGGGUGCGCAGGCGGACCUAUCAGUCAGUGGUGAAAUCCCGGGGCUCAACUCCGGAACUGCCAUUGAUACUGUAGGUCUUGAGUUUGGUUGAAGUGGGCGGAAUGUAGCAUGUAGCGGUGAAAUGCAUAGAUAUGCUACAGAACACCGAUCGCGAAGGCAGCUCACUAAACCAAAACUGACGCUCAGGCACGAAAGCGUGGGUAGCGAACAGGAUUAGAUACCCUGGUAGUCCACGCCGUAAACGAUGAUUACUCGUUGUUGGCAACAUAUCGUCAGUGACCAAGCGAAAGCGAUAAGUAAUCCACCUGGGGAGUACGUUCGCAAGAAUGAAACUCAAAGGAAUUGACGGGGGCCCGCACAAGCGGUGGAGCAUGUGGUUUAAUUCGAUGAUGCGCGAGGAACCUUACCUGGGCUCAAAUGUAAGUUGACGUAUGGUGAAAGCCAUAUUUCUUCGGACAAUUUACAAGGUGCUGCAUGGUUGUCGUCAGCUCGUGCCGUGAGGUGUCGGGUUACGUCCCAUAACGAGCGCAACCCCUAUUCUUAGUUGCCAUCAGGUCAUGCUGGGGACUCUAGGAAAACUGCCUACGCCAGUAGAGAGGAAGGUGGGGANGACGUCAAAUCAGCACGGCCCUUACGUUCAGGGCUACACACGUGCUACAAUGGCGGGUACAGAGGGCAGCACACGCGCGAGUGGAAGCGAAUCUCUGAAAGCCGGUCUCAGUUCGGAUCGAAGUCUGCAAC